Molecule: unclassified non-coding RNA, 388 nt
Filed under: soil metagenome
Description: partial contains 5.8S ribosomal RNA, internal transcribed spacer 2, and large subunit ribosomal RNA
Rfam family: 5.8S ribosomal RNA (bases 1-121)
Source: RNAcentral
GAUGAAGAACGUAGCGAACGUGCGAAACGUAAUGUGAAUUGCAGAAUUCAGUGAAUCAUCGAAUCUUUGAACGCACCUUGCACCCUUUGGUAUUCCGAAGGGUAUGCUCGUUUGAGUGUCAUUGUACUCUCACACUUCUAAUUCCUUUCGGGAUUGGGAGCGGUGGACUUGGGUGUUGCUGCUUUAGUUGUGGCUCACCUCAAAUAAGUUAGUGCAACUCUUGGUUGGACAUAGUACGGCGUGAUAAGUGUCUUCGCCGGCGCCUCUGUAAGGAGGGUGGCCGAUCGGGAGCUCUGUGCUUCAAACCGUCUUCGGACAAUCUUUGACAACUUGACCUCAAAUCGAGUAGGACUACCCGCUGAACUUAAGCAUAUCAAUAAGCGGAGGA